Non-coding RNA from Pelobates cultripes (western spadefoot toad), 69 nucleotides. The record is from the annotation of a GenBank genome assembly. Lineage: Eukaryota; Metazoa; Chordata; Amphibia; Anura; Pelobatidae.
UGUGUGUGUGUGUGUGUGUGCGUAUAUAUAUAUGUAUAUGUAUAUACGCACACCACACACACACACAUA